AUUUAAGUAGUUUAAUUUAAAAUGUUAAUUUGUGGGGUUAAUGAUGUAAUUUUUUUAUCUUAAAUU
This 66-nucleotide transfer RNA is filed under the name Acropyga arnoldi. RNAcentral describes it as "tRNA-His". The record is from RNAcentral. Lineage: Eukaryota; Metazoa; Arthropoda; Insecta; Hymenoptera; Formicidae.